GCUCGUCUCCGUGGUGAUUUGGGCCGGCCGGCUUGCAGCCACGUUAAACAAGUCGCUAAAAAGGUCGGGAGGCAAAAAGC
Molecule: non-coding RNA, 80 nt
Filed under: Polymorphum gilvum
Lineage: Bacteria; Pseudomonadati; Pseudomonadota; Alphaproteobacteria; Rhodobacterales; Paracoccaceae
Also listed under: 1 other name
Source: RNAcentral